AGUGAACGCUGGCGGUAGGCCUAACACAUGCAAGUCGAACGGCAGCACAGUAAGAGCUUGCUCUUACGGGUGGCGAGUGGCGGACGGGUGAUGAAUACAUCGGAAUCUACUUUUUCGUGGGGGAUAACGUAGGGAAACUUACGCUAAUACCGCAUACGACCUACGGGUGAAAGCAGGGGAUCUUCGGACCUUGCGCGAUUGUAUGAGCCGAUGUCGGAUUAGCUAGUUGGCGGGGUAAAGGCCCACCAAGGCGACGAUCCGUAGCUGGUCUGAGAGGAUGAUCAGCCACACUGGAACUGAGACACGGUCCAGACUCCUACGGGAGGCAGCAGUGGGGAAUAUUGGACAAUGGGCGCAAGCCUGAUCCAGCCAUACCGCGUGGGUGAAGAAGGCCUUCGGGUUGUAAAGCCCUUUUGUUGGGAAAGAAAAGCAGCAGGUUAAUACCCCGCUGUUCUGACGGUACCAAAAGAAUAAGCACCGGCUAACUUCGUG
RNAcentral lists this ribosomal RNA (492 nucleotides) under uncultured bacterium. RNAcentral's name for it is "partial 16S ribosomal RNA". It matches the Rfam family "Bacterial small subunit ribosomal RNA", at positions 29 to 507 of the family's 1533-position model. The record is from RNAcentral.